GUGGGAAUAGCUCAGUUGUAGAGCACAUGCUUAGCACGUGUGAGGUCCUGGGUUUGAUCCCCAGUACCUCCA
RNAcentral lists this transfer RNA (72 nucleotides) under Camelus bactrianus (Bactrian camel). It matches the Rfam family "tRNA". From Rfam's summary of the family: Transfer RNA (tRNA) molecules are approximately 80 nucleotides in length. Their secondary structure includes four short double-helical elements and three loops (D, anti-codon, and T loops). Lineage: Eukaryota; Metazoa; Chordata; Mammalia; Artiodactyla; Camelidae. RNAcentral also lists the same sequence under 2 other names. The record is from Rfam by way of RNAcentral.